Molecule: ribosomal RNA, 262 nt
Filed under: uncultured archaeon
Lineage: Archaea
Description: partial 16S ribosomal RNA
Rfam family: Archaeal small subunit ribosomal RNA
Source: RNAcentral
CAGCCGUAAACUAUGCGCGUUAGGUGUACUGGUGACCACGAGUCACCGGGGUGCCGAAGGGAAACCGUGAAACGUGCCGCCUGGGAAGUACGGUCGCAAGGCUGAAACUUAAAGGAAUUGGGCGGGGGAGCACCACAACGGGUGGAGCCUGCGGUUUAAUUGGAUUCAACGCCGGACACCUCACCGGAUAAGACAGCUGAAUGAUUGUCAAUCUGAAGGUUUUACAUGACUAGCUGAGAGGAGGUGCAUGGCGUCAGUGACU